UAUUAGAUACCCGUGUAGUCCCAGCUGUAAACGAUGCAGGCUAGGUGUUUGGACGGCCACGUGCCGUUCUAGUGCCGCAGGGAAGCUGUUAAGCCUGCCGCCUGGGGAGUACGAUCGCAAGAUUGAAACUUAAAGGAAUUGGCGGGGGAGCACCACAAGGGGUGAAGCUUGCGGUUUAAUUGGAGUCAACGCCGGAAAUCUCACCAGGGGCGACAGCAGAAUGAUAGCCAGGUUGAUGACCUUGCUUGACUAGCUGAGAGGUGGUGCAUGGC
RNAcentral lists this ribosomal RNA (272 nucleotides) under uncultured archaeon. RNAcentral's name for it is "partial 16S ribosomal RNA". It matches the Rfam family "Archaeal small subunit ribosomal RNA", at positions 727 to 998 of the family's 1478-position model. The record is from RNAcentral.